CAAUAUGCAGUAUACUUAGUAGACAGCACGUACCUUGAGGACUCAGUUGUUAGAAAACUGAUUCAGACACAGCCAGGAAUUAACAUCAAGUGCACUAUUAAUAAGUAUAAUACAAUACACUUUAGAGUACUUAUAAAAAUUAAACUGUAUUUUCAUCCUGGAUAGCAUACUAGUAUACUUCCUAAAAGUCUACUUUAACUUCACUUACCUAAAAACACUGUAAUAAGUACAGUAUAUGAGAUUUGGUGUACUUAUUUGGAGUACACUGAAGUACAACUUAUUGACACAUGAGAUUUAGUAUACUUAUUUGAAGUACGCUAAAGUACAGCGUAUACAAACAUUUAGAAGCAUAAUUUUAAAAAGUACAUUUAAAGCAUAUAUUAAGUUCAAAAAGGUAACACUGGGUAACACUAAACAUUACACUGUGUAGGUAUAUGAUAAGUACUGUUUGAGCCACUAAUAUGCCCUACGAUGGACAGGAAAACAGAGCUUGCAGGUAGAUGGAUUCACAGAUGUGUGCAGUUAUUUCUGUGUUUUGUCAGAACCCAAUGGUCCAUAGCCUGCUUUUGCAAAGAUUAGUUCAAUGCGAUGCAAUCAUGCUUAACAAAAACACCAGAUGGCCCAAAUCUUUAUCAAAAUAUAUCUUUUUUUGCACAUGGGGACUAGCAUGCAAAUCUGCGAUGUCUAUGAAUUUUCUUUUUACGGAAAUAUGUUUUUUCUAUAUUUGCCUUUUAUCUUAAGCAGUAUUAGUGGUAUUCCACUUUGUGAUUGUGUGCUUCUAUGUAUUUGAAUGAGACGACUGAUGUUUGCGACCUUUUUUAAAAGAAGAUAAAGAUCAUAAGGUUUUCAGGAGAAUAUUUAAUUCAGCCCACAUGGAGCCAUUUGCAUGGGUGCUUCUAUAUGGAGUGUGUUUUCAAGGUGCCAUAUUUGGCGUUUCCUGGGCAUGGAGUGUCACCGUGCCCAGAGAGAUGGAGGGCAUGGUAGGGUCCUGCCUGGUCAUCCCCUGCAGAUUUUCUUAUAGCGAAUACCCACCCAACAACAAGGGCAGAGUGGUCUGGUACCAAUAUGUCGACAGAGGAUACCCUCUGGUGUGCGAUCCAGAAGACCAAAAUGCAGUCAUCGAAAAGUUCAGGGGAAAAACCUCUUUAUACGGAUCACCUUACAAGGGAGACUGCAGCCUGAAGAUUUACCCCCUGGACUGGCGUCACCAAGAGGAGAAGGUUUACCCCUGGGUGGACCCAGACUACGUCACAUAUCGCUAUUUUAAAUUUUAUGACAAAGCUGUGAAAAUCCGUGUACGAGACAGAGCAGACAAACCAGAAUUAUAUUUUUCCGGCUCACGUAAGGUGGGAGAACAAAUGACCGUCCAGUGCAGCGCCUACCACACGUGCCAACCGCAUCCCCCAACAUUGCACCUGACCGUAGCGGGACAUACUGGGACACCCAAAGUCAAUCACAAAGAAGUGCAUGAAGGCAAGUGGGAAAUCACCAUGGAGAUGACCUGGAUAUUAGACAACGCCCACCAAACCAUCACUUGUGAAGUCAUACAUCCCUUCGGCCAGAGCGCAUCCAAAAUCGUCAGCCUUCAGGGA
Long non-coding RNA from Anguilla rostrata (American eel), 1592 nucleotides. RefSeq lists it as uncharacterized. The record is from RefSeq and is a predicted model, not a curated record. The transcript is spliced from 4 exons. NCBI's taxonomy places the organism in Eukaryota, Metazoa, Chordata, Actinopteri, Anguilliformes, Anguillidae.